This is a long non-coding RNA of Oncorhynchus tshawytscha (Chinook salmon), 1819 nucleotides long. The record is from Ensembl. Lineage: Eukaryota; Metazoa; Chordata; Actinopteri; Salmoniformes; Salmonidae.
GUGCUGCCACUGCGGAUGCACUGACUGGGUAUUGUACAUUUUUUCCAACAUUGUGCAAAGUCAUAUCGACAAGAAUAAUACGAUGGAAGCAAAUGCUUGGAAACUUCCUGUGAUGCUAGAGAAGAUGGAUCUCAGUGUUAUGGAGCUCUGGGAGGAACUGUCUAUCUCCAGCUGACUGAUACCAUGGCAUAUAAUCACUACUCAUUUUAUAAAGGCUCAACUGGUGCUAAAACAGAGAUACUGAAAACAAAGGUCACACUGCUCCAGUGUCCAGUCCUCAGCUGUCCUCUGAGUGUCUGUCUCAUGGAGAGAUGAGGGUGUCCUGCUCCUCUGAGGGGGAUGGUUCCCAGUACAGCUGGACUCUGGAUCGACAGACGCUGAGACACACUAAGGCCUCUUCUGAUAACGAGACAAACACCAUCACUCUGAAGAAAGGCCUGUCAGGAAAUCUCACCUGUACCGUCAGAAACUACAUCAGCAGUGAUUCUAUCAGCAAGAGAAUCUCACCUUGUCCAGGAGUCAGUGUGUUUGUUUAUUUCCAACUCGCUGAAGUCUUCAUUCUUCUGACAGUCUGUCUGGGAUCAUACUGUUUCUACAAGAAGGAAACCUAUCAUCGUAAAGAAGCCACAGACAUGGUGACCACCUGUAAUGCUACUCAGAACUUAUCCCAGUGUUCUGUUGUUCUGGAUGGAACUCUGGAUGUCUAGCUAAUGACCAACGCUAGUGGACGGGAACUGCUGUUUAAAAAGAACCUCUGAACCACAGGUGGCCAGUGUGAAAAAUUCUAUGACGUACACUUUUAGAUUUCUCCAAAUGUUCAGAUUUUCACACUCAACUUCACACUUUUUAACAUAAAAACAAAAAACAAAUUAUGUUCUAAGCCCAUAACAAUUCUUAAACCACAUCAGGAGAUAACUUUUGACGUCUGCACACUUACCCCAAAAGUGUGCAGACACCUAGCAAUGUUGUUUAGUUUGCAGUGUUUCUGUAGCACAUGAGAUGGAGUUUGCAAAGGAAAUGGCUACUGGUUUGAUGCAAAUAAUCAUGAUAUCAUUCUGACAGGUAGGCAUAAGCUACUUUGGAGCUACUGUAGUCAACAUUUAAUAGAGAGUUAACAUUUAAUACAGGUUUUUGGGAAAGCCUUUCCAUCUACCAGAAGACGGUUAUGCCUAUCAUUACCAUUGCUAUAUUUUUCCUUUUCCUUAAUUGUUUGAAACCUGGACAUUUUACUUCAUAUUAUGAGGAUGACUUACCUUGAAAGUAGCCCAUCACCAAAAUCCCACCAUAGAAACGUGGAGGAUAAUGCCUUCGACAUUAUCCUCACAUCUCCAUCUGAACCGAAAAUGAUUUGCAUUGAUACCCCCCCCCCCUUUGUUUUUACACUGCUGCUACUCGCUGUUUACUAUCGAUGCAUAGUCACUUUACCCUUACCUAUAUGUACAAAUGACCUCGAUUAACCUGUACUCCUGCACAUUCACUCGGUACCGGUACCCCAAGUAUAUAGCCUCAUUAUUGUCAUUUUAUUGUGUUCAUUUUUUAAAUGAAUUGUUUAACUUUAUUUAUUUAGUAAAUAUUUUGUUAACAUUUUGUUAAAACUGCAUUCUUGGUUUAGGGCUUGUAAGUAAGCAUUUCACAGUAAAGUCUACACCUGUUGUAUUCGGCGCAUGUGAAAAACAUUACCAGAUUGAAACAAACCUUCCACAGUUUACUAGACUGUAGAAAGCAGUGACAGAAUGUGAAACUAAUAAUGAGUCUGUGGAAGGUCUAUACCAUAAGAGGGAUUUCUGUGUCAAAUGGUUGAGAAUGUGGACUUCAUUAC